GGCCUGAGUUACCGAGUUCUUGCAGAAAGCAGUGUAGUGACCACCAUCCAGAUCUCCAAAGUGGUUCUAGGGAAGAAAGGCAUGGUUUCCACAUGUGAAUGCUCUGACUGAUGGGAUAAAAAUGACAAGGCCAAAGACCAUUUUAAAGGGUCUUAUACUGAGGAGAUCAUUUUCUCAAGUCUUACAUACUGUCUAACUUGGAACUGCUUAUACAUUGUAUUCAUUGACUUUAAUAGAAUUAGAUAGGAAAUCAGACUAACUGGAGUUCUAAGUUGUGACCCUCCAUGUGUGGUUGUGCCUCAGUGUCUCAGGGCUGCAGCAGUAAAACUGAAGAGCUGGCACAAAAACCUCUGACCUCCAAGGCCUAGAAUAUUUCCUAGCUAGUUUUUACAAAGUCUGCUGACCCCUCAUACAAAAGAAAGAGAAUAACAUGAAGUGCUAACCUUAAGAACCCUCCCCUUUGACAAGCCCCACUCUGCAUCUGUUGACAGCAGGAAGCAGCAGCUGCAGCUCACGCCUGUAACCCUAGGCCUUGGAAAGGUUGAGGCAAGAGGACUGCCACGAGUUCAAAGCUUAGACCCUGUCUCAAAAAGAAAACAUCCACCUUUUUUUUUGUUUUGUUUUGUUUUUUGUUUUUAGAGACAGGGUUUCUUUCUCUGUGUAGACCAGGCUGACCUUGAACUCAGAAAUCCUUCUGUCUCCCAAGUGCAGGGAUUAAAGGUGUGUGCCACCACUGCCCAGCCAGCUUUUUUAUUUAGUACGUGUAUUUCCCAAGUGUACGUAUGUACACCAUGCGUGUGCUGGUGCAUGUGGAGGCCAGACAAGAGUUUGUAGUUCCCUGGAACUGGAGCUACUGAUGGUUGUGAGCCAUCAUGUGGGUGCUGGGAACCAAACCCAGGUCCUCCUCCAAGAACAAGAAGUGCUCUUAAGCACCGAGCAGCCAUCUCCCUAGCCCCCUUUCAGCCUUUAUCAGAUUUCUUAUGCACCACAGCACAAGGGAUGCCCACUAACAUUUCCUCAGUUUCCAUCAUGUCUCUUUGCCUAUCAUGGAUCAAAAUGGAGGAAGAGGAUUAAAGAGGAGAAUGAGGUAGGUGGGAACUAGAGCACUGGAACUGCAAGGUCACACAAGCUCUAGAGAACAGGGCUUCGGUUUCAGAAAAUAUGCUAGAUUGAGGUCUGCAUACCUCAGUGGAAAGACAGGCUAAGGCUCUUGCCAGCAAGCCUGAUAACCUGAGUUGUGUAUCUGGGACCCACAUUGGGGAGGAGAACUGAUUCCUGCAGGUUGUUCUCUGAGUUCCAUAUGUUCCCUGUCAUGUGUGCUUACAUACAUACAUACAUACAUACAUACAUACAUACGCAUAAUAACCUCUAAAAUGUAAAACCUUUAGCACUAGGCAUGGUGGCUGAAAUCCCACCAUAGAAGGUUGAGGCAGAAGAUUGUGAAGUGGAGGCCAGACUGAGCUAGAAAAAAAGAACUGGGUG
This 1482-nucleotide long non-coding RNA is filed under the name Mus musculus (house mouse). Its description in RNAcentral is "long non-coding RNA chr2:126761625-126763107". The record is from RNAcentral. Lineage: Eukaryota; Metazoa; Chordata; Mammalia; Rodentia; Muridae.